This 801-nucleotide small RNA is filed under the name Daedalea confragosa. RNAcentral describes it as "sequence contains ITS1, 5.8S rRNA gene, ITS2 and 28S rRNA gene". The stretch from base 472 to 801 matches the Rfam family "Eukaryotic large subunit ribosomal RNA", at positions 1 to 324 of the family's 3401-position model. The record is from RNAcentral. Lineage: Eukaryota; Fungi; Basidiomycota; Agaricomycetes; Polyporales; Fomitopsidaceae.
UCAGGCGAGCGUCGGUCGCUUCGCGGCGUCGUCGUUCAACUGGGCUCACGUUUUACUACAAACUAUUAAAGUAUCAGAAUGUCUACUGCGAAUUAACGCAUUUAAAUACAACUUUCAGCAACGGAUCUCUUGGCUCUCGCAUCGAUGAAGAACGCAGCGAAAUGCGAUAAGUAAUGUGAAUUGCAGAAUUCAGUGAAUCAUCGAAUCUUUGAACGCACCUUGCGCUCCUUGGUAUUCCGAGGAGCAUGCCUGUUUGAGUGUCAUGAAAUUCUCAACCUAACGAGUCUUUGCGGGCUCGGUAGGCUUGGACUUGGAGGUUCUUGUCGGCCUAACGGUCGGCUCCUCUUAAAUGCAUUAGCUCGGUUCCUUGCGGAUCGGCUCACGGUGUGAUAAUUGUCUACGCCGCGACCGUUGAAGCGUUUUGGCCGGCUUCUAAUCGUCUCGUUGGAGACACUACUCUUUAUGACCUUCUGACCUCAAAUCAGGUAGGACUACCCGCUGAACUUAAGCAUAUCAAUAAGCGGAGGAAAAGAAACUAACAAGGAUUCCCCUAGUAACUGCGAGUGAAGCGGGAAAAGCUCAAAUUUAAAAUCUGGCGGUCUUUGGCCGUCCGAGUUGUAGUCUGGAGAAGUGCUUUCCGCGCUGGACCGUGUAUAAGUCUCUUGGAACAGAGCGUCAUAGAGGGUGAGAAUCCCGUCUUUGACACGGACUACCAGUGCUUUGUGAUGCGCUCUCAAAGAGUCGAGUUGUUUGGGAAUGCAGCUCAAAAUGGGUGGUAAAUUCCAUCUAAAGCUAAAUAUU